UUAAGCAUAUCAAUAAGCGGAGGAAAAGAAACCAACAGGGAUUGCCCUAGUAACGGCGAGUGAAGCGGCAAAAGCUCAAAUUUGAAAUCUGGCUUCGGCCCGAGUUGUAAUUUGUAGAGGAUGUUUCGGGCACCGCCCCGGCGUAAGUCCCUUGGAACAGGGCGUCAUAGAGGGUGAGAAUCCCGUCUGGCGUCGUGGUAGGGCCCAUGUGAAACUCCUUCGACGAGUCGAGUUGUUUGGGAAUGCAGCUCAAAAUGGGUGGUAAAUUUCAUCUAAAGCUAAAUACUGGCCAGAGACCGAUAGCGCACAAGUAGAGUGAUCGAAAGAUGAAAAGCACUUUGAAAAGAGAGUUAAACAGUAUGUGAAAUUGUUGAAAGGGAAGCGCUUACAACCAGACUUGAGCCCGUCGGUUCCCCCUCGCUUCUGCGUGGGCUACUCCGGCGGGUCCAGGCCAACAUCGGUUCGGGUGGCUGGUCAAAGGCCCCGGGAAUGUACCUCACCUUCGGGUUAGGCUUAUAGCCCGGGGUGUCAUGCGGCCUACCUGGACCGAGGAACGCGCUUCGGCUCGGAUGUUGGCGUAAUGGUUGUCAGCGACCCGUCUUGAAACACGGACCAAGGAGUCGAAGAGCUAUGCGAGUGUUUGGGUGUCAAACCCGUACGCGUAAUGAAAGUGAACGGAGGUAGGAAGCUUCGGCUGCACUAUCGACCGAUCCUGAUGUUCUCGGAUGGAUUUGAGUAAGAGCAUAACUCUCCGGACCCGAAAGAUGGUGAACUAUGCGGUGAACUAUGCCUGAAUAGGGUGAAGCCAGAGGAAACUCUGGUGGAGGCUCGCAGCGGUUCUGACGUGCAAAUCGAUCGUCAAAUUUGGGUAUAGGGGCGAAAGACUAAUCGAACCAUCUGGUAGCUGGUUCCUGCCGAAGUUUCCCUCAGGAUAGCAGUAACGUUUUCAGUUUUAUGAGGUAAAGCGAAUGAUUAGAGGCCUUGGGGUUGAAACAACCUUAACCUAUUCUCAAACUUUAAAUAUGUAAGAAGUCCUUGUUACUUAGUUGAACGUGGACAUUUGAAUGUAUCGUUACUAGUGGGCCAUUUUUGGUAAGCAGAACUGGCGAUGCGGGAUGAACCGAACGUGAGGUUAAGGUGCCGGACUGCACGCUCAUCAGACACCACAAAAGGUGUCAAUGCAUCUAGACAGCCGGACGGUGGCCAUGGAAGUCGGAAUCCGCUUAGGAGUGUGUAACAACUCACCGGCCGAAUGCAUUGGCCCUGAAAAUGGAUGGCGCUUAAGCGUGCGACCUAUACCUCGCCGUCAGGGUUGACAUGAUGCCCUGACGAGUAGGCAGGCGUGGAGGUUUGUGACGAAGCCUUGGGGGUGACCCCGGGUCGAACAACCUCUAG
This 1395-nucleotide ribosomal RNA is filed under the name Chaetothyriales sp. A1050. RNAcentral describes it as "LSU rRNA". It matches the Rfam family "Eukaryotic large subunit ribosomal RNA", at positions 34 to 1442 of the family's 3401-position model. The record is from RNAcentral. Lineage: Eukaryota; Fungi; Ascomycota; Eurotiomycetes; Chaetothyriales.